RNAcentral lists this ribosomal RNA (253 nucleotides) under uncultured bacterium. RNAcentral describes it as "partial 16S ribosomal RNA". It matches the Rfam family "Bacterial small subunit ribosomal RNA", at positions 524 to 776 of the family's 1533-position model. The record is from RNAcentral.
UACGUAGGGUGCGAGCGUUGUCCGGAAUUAUUGGGCGUAAAGGGCUCGUAGGCGGUCUGUCACGUCGGGAGUGAAAACACGGGGCUUAACCCCGUGCCUGCUUCCGAUACGGGCAGACUAGAGGUAUGCAGGGGAGAACGGAAUUCCUGGUGUAGCGGUGAAAUGCGCAGAUAUCAGGAGGAACACCGGUGGCGAAGGCGGUUCUCUGGGCCUGUUCUGACGCUGAGGAGCGAAAGCGUGGGGAGCGAACAGG